Pongo pygmaeus (Bornean orangutan) is the source of this 3539-nucleotide long non-coding RNA. RefSeq lists it as uncharacterized. The transcript is spliced from 5 exons. Lineage: Eukaryota; Metazoa; Chordata; Mammalia; Primates; Hominidae. The record is from RefSeq and is a predicted model, not a curated record.
CGCUGGGAUCAGGAUUUCUCCUUUCUUAGCUGGUUCCUGCUGCUAGGGGAUGAGAGGCUGGGAAGGGAGGACUGGGCUGUCUCCUGCUUCAGUCAACAAAGUGAAUCAGACAAAGAAUGAGGCUGGACUCAUCAAGGAGAAGAAGCCUUGCUGCUACUGUGCCAAUGCAGAUGACAGAGAUGAAUGUCCCAUCACUCUGGGGGUAAGAGGGCCACAUUCUCUCUAUGCUUCCAACUUGUGAUGAGAGAGUUCCUGGAGUCCCCAACAUCAGAUUUCAGAGCCAAUAUCUGUCUUGCUCAACUGGACCACACCCUUGCUGUUUGCUAAGCCUGUUCUCCUUACUCAUCAAUUUGAUGCAUUUUCCCUGUGCUUCCAAGCUUUGCUGAUACACCCCAGUAUGUGUCCAGAUGUGGGCAUGUGCAUUAUUCUGGUGCACUCUUCUGACAGAAGCUCAUGGACAAGUCAGAAAAUGUUGGGGAGAGAUUUUCUGUUGAAUGUCUAUAUAUUUCACAAUUGUGAAGGGGAAAUUACCAAGAAGGCCUACCCACCUCUGGAGAAAGAAGCCCAUUUCUGAGCUGUGAAUCUGACUUGUGGGGUCUGCUGGCUUGGAAAAGAUUCAGUUGUUUCUGGCUGUCCUUUGAAUCAGUAAAGAUCUCAGAGCUAAAAGGUGCUGAGAUCCUGUGUGGCUGACCUCAUCAGAAUUCAUCAGUGAGUAUGCACUGGACUCCUGAAACAAUGUCCUUCCUGGUGUGCUAAGGAUGUAUGUGGACUGGAGGCAGGGGUGAAGGCCAGCACCAUUCAUGGACCCUCACGUUCUUUUCACCUAUAGUCUCUCAAAACUGCACACUGAUAGUAGCCCUGAUCCUUGGAGCUGGGCAUGUUAUUACUAAACAGAUGUCAAGAAUUUGAAAGAAGGCAAGAAGAAAUCUGUUUUUAACUAAUCCAAGUGGGAAACAGGUAUUUACUUUUUCACAUAAUUAGAAAGCCUGAGCUUGGAACCAAAUAUCUACACUGACUUCAAGAAUAUCAAGUCCCUCUCUUUCCAUCUACUUCCCUCUUCCUUCUCCUUUCUUUCCCUUUCCCAUGUCUUAGUUCUGCUUCUCUCAAUAGGUUGUCCUUGGCCUGUCCUCCUAUAGUAAGGCAUCCUCCAUGUAGCUAGCAGAAAGAGGCACAGGCAUAUCCAGCUCUAGGCUUCCAUUAGCUUAAUUUUCUGAGCAUGAAAUAGAUAGAAAACUUACUUAGCCUAUACACAAUCCAGAGAAGUUAUCUAGUCUAGGUUGGUGACAGACUCACCAUUGUGCAGUCACUGUGGCCAGAGGGGUGGCGUACCCUGAGUGACCUGACCUGGAUCACAUGCCCACCCUUAGUGGGACAGAACACUGUGAUUCACAGCCUGUGUAGAACCACAUUAUGUGGAGGAGGGGCAGCUUCCUAGUGAAAUGUCUGGAAUGGGGAACCAUGACAAAAUAGGACAUGAGAAGGAGACUACUAGACCAUUUUAGAAAUGGAGGAAAGACUCUUCUCUGCAGUUCACAACGGUGAGCAGUGGAGUGAAAAACAACUUUUGCAGAGUCUUCCUUAAUUGAUGGGGGUAAAAGAAUAGACACAGACAAAAUAAAGUAAAGCUCUAGGCAUAUCUACAAUAUUCCACCAUGAAGUAGAGUGGCCCAAUUCUGUAAUUAAGUGGAAGUGGGAACUUUCGAAAUGUUGCAGCCUAUCCUCAUUAUCAGCCUUAAAAAAAAAAAAGUCCAAAUAAUAGAUACAGCUUCUGCUGGAUGCCUAGUCUUAUGUUCAUCACACAAGGGAUAAUAAUGAUGACAAUGAUAUCCUCGGGUCAAAAAAUAUGCCAUAAGUCAGCUGGGUUUAGUGAUUGAUAGACCUGUGCAUUUUCAAAUUAUGUGUUGGCUCAGGGAAGGAGGUAACACAAUUAGGCUUGAUAGACUCAGGGUGGAGGGAAGUGAUGUGACUCUUAGAAGUGAUACACAUAAUAGAGUUCUGAGUAUCAACUCCAUGUCAAACUCCCUCCAUUGCUUUAUUUUACUGUCUUAUUCAAUCCUUCAGCAACUUCCACUAGAGAGAGGCGAUUAUAUAUUUUUUUUAACUUAAAGAAGAGAUUGAAACACAAAGGAGAUUUCCUUGUAUAAGGUCAGUGUCAAGGUGAAAACCUGUUUUUGCUACAGCACCACAAACAAACCAACGAAAGCCAUCAGCAGCCGCCACACACUAUGUCAAGAUACUUUCUUCCAACGCUGUUAGAAUUAUUGGAAUAGGAAGACAAAGAAGUUUAGAAUCACAAAAGAAUGAAUAAGAAAUGUGCUGGUCUUGAAGGCUAUAUAAUGUCAGCCAGAAUGAGUAGGGGAAAGGAAAGCCAUACAUUGGGAUUGACAUUGCAAAGAACUGAAGCUUUUAAAGAUUGAGUAUUUCCAUUGUGAGCACUUGACACCAUAAAGCUAUCUUCCAGAAAUGCACAGUAAAAGAGUAAAUAGAUGAUACAUGAAUGAAUGAAUGGAUGGGUGUUCAUUCAUUCAGCAUUUUUUACUUAUAAACUUUCAUUAUUAAUUCACAUGAUAUAUUAUGUCUGCUUGAGUCUUUGCGGAAUUGAACAAAUCAAUAUGUUCUUCAUCUCAUUUCCACAAAGCUUUCCACAAGAAUGAAGGUGAGAGGAGGUGUCUAUUCCCUGCUCCCUUCCCACUCAUUCUCAACCCCAGAUAUCCUUUCUUCAAGGGUUCGUAAAUCUCUGCCUUAGCAACAGACUGCACCAGUGUCUGACAAAUAAAACUUCAUGUGAAUUACAAUUUUUAAAAAAAAUAUAGGACAGUGAAAAUGAAGCUUUGUGGUGGCUGCUUAAUUUGGAGGGCAUUAUUUUUAGCUUUGCAAAGGACCAGUGGCACGAAAACAAUUAGGAUCUUUUGUCAAGUUAAUUAAAUUUUAGUAAGUGUAGUAAUCUCAGUGGGCUUCAUACACCAGAGGUAAAACUAAUUAAAACGCAAAUUCUUCCUAGCCUAAUAAGGAGUUCUAACUUGGAUAGCUGAGGAAUGUUGUGCAUACUGAGAGAUAUUCAAAACUAAUUUAUAAUGAGAUGAGGGCAAACCCUUAAAUGGCUCAGUUCUGUUGAAGGCUCACUUGAGAACACCAAUAAGUUAAACUGGAGGCUGCCACUUAAGGUAAAAAGAAAAAAAGCAGACUGGCAAGCUUUGCUGGGUGCAGGAGAAAAAUGGAUCCAGCUUAGACAAGUAAGGAUGGGGAGGCCAGUAGAAAUGAGAUAUCCAAGUUUUCUCUAAAAAGUGCUAUUUUCUCCCCAGGUUUCUUCUCUUCAUUAAAUUCUCCAAGGGCAGGCUGAGCUAACGGCAAUUGCUUUUCUUGUAGUAUUAUUUUCUUAGAAAGCUACCUGGAGCAAGAUUAUUUAGUUCACAAGGAUUCAGAUCAGUAGUUAAUCCACACCACAUCUCCUGUGUGGCACUGACAGACCCAUUUUUAAGAUAAAGCCAUUGAACAACUGAAAAAAAAAAAAAAAAAAAGAAGAAGAAAAAAAAAACAAC